This 253-nucleotide ribosomal RNA is filed under the name uncultured bacterium. RNAcentral describes it as "partial 16S ribosomal RNA". It matches the Rfam family "Bacterial small subunit ribosomal RNA", at positions 524 to 776 of the family's 1533-position model. The record is from RNAcentral.
UACGGAGGGUGCAAGCGUUAUCCGGAUUUAUUGGGCGUCAAGCGUCCGCAGGUGGUUUUUCAAGUCUGCUGUUAAAGCGCGAGGCUUAACUUCGUACAGGCAGUGGAAACUGGAAGACUUGAGUAUGGUAGGGGUAGCGGGAAUUCCCAGUGUAGCGGUGAAAUGCGUAGAUAUUGGGAAGAACACCAGCGGCGAAAGCGCGCUACUGGGCCAUUACUGACACUCAUGGACGAAAGCUAGGGGAGCGAAAGGG